RNAcentral lists this non-coding RNA (22 nucleotides) under Arabidopsis thaliana (thale cress). The record is from RNAcentral. Lineage: Eukaryota; Viridiplantae; Streptophyta; Magnoliopsida; Brassicales; Brassicaceae.
CUCAACGCCAAUCCUCUGUUGC